GAACUCCUCAUGUGAAAGGUUUAUCUCGACUGCUGUCACAAGUCGUGAAAACACUUUGUUUAGUACGAAGAAUAUGUGGCAUUUGGACACGGGUUGGUUUGGCACAUUAACUACUGUGCUGCUGGUGACCUUUUGAGGAUGGACUGAAACAACAGUUGAUAUCAUAGGUAUCCCUUUGGGGAGCUGUCAGGUGCUGUGAGUUGUUGAACUGCAGCAACUCUUUCUCUUGGUUGCUGUGAGUGAACUUGAAGUGAGAGAAGAAUAUAUUCACGUGCAGGCUUGCGCUUCUGAUCAGGCCUUCUGACACCUCGUUUACUGGAAGCUUCCUUUAACUUCACCUGACCAACAUAGGCAACUCCUGCAUUCCCUGGAAAAGUGGCCGAGCCACUCUCUUCAGUUGCGAAGCGCGCAGGACCUUUUUGCGCUCAUUUUGAUCGUCUGGCAGCCGCCUUCCCCAUCACUUUCUGGGCAACUCUAUAGCACUGUGCCAGCCGUGGCCGACGCCGCCAGAUUGAUGACCACACUGUUAAAAAAUCUGUGGAAAAACCACAGAAAAAUUCCCAACAGAGGUGUACAGAUUGUUUCUGUUACAGAAAUUUUCAGUUACUGUGUUACUUUCCGAACAGUCUCUGUGGUUUCAGCACAGAUUUGGACGCACGUUCUGGGCAAAAAAUUGACCAUAGUUUUUCUGUGUUUUUUCCGUGGUUUUUUCUAACAGUGCAGGAGCAGCGCUGGGACCUUGAUGUUCCGCAAGCCUGACAGAGCAGGGGAAGCUCGCCCAGCCGCCAGUGCCGCCGCACUCACCAUCCCGAGCUCUUCUUCGUUCUGAUCUUCAAAGGGGGGAUGCAGCACGCGCCCGCUAGGGUGUAGCGUACUCGGUCGACUUUUAAAUUUUAAAAACGGGCCCCCCUCACUUCAAGCCAUUUUCGAUGUAGUUUCCGGAACUGACCUUGUUUUUUCGCUGAGACAAAGACUUCAGGUUCCUACCUCGCCUCAAAGUUGACAAAUUUCAAUAAUUUGCACUAAAAUCGAAUAAUUCGGGUAAAAAAUAUUUCAAAGCAGUACAGAGACGCUUCGUGAGUGGCAUGUGUUUCUCAUACAUCUAAAAAGAGUUUGGCACCUGUGACCGGCGAUGGGAGAACCGUUUUAGGCCGUUUUAAGGCGACAUUUGUAUAA
Frankliniella occidentalis (western flower thrips) is the source of this 1176-nucleotide long non-coding RNA. RefSeq lists it as uncharacterized. The record is from RefSeq and is a predicted model, not a curated record. The transcript is spliced from 3 exons. NCBI's taxonomy places the organism in Eukaryota, Metazoa, Arthropoda, Insecta, Thysanoptera, Thripidae.